This 492-nucleotide small RNA is filed under the name Oryza sativa Japonica Group (Japanese rice). RNAcentral's name for it is "sRNA Os11g0540700". The record is from RNAcentral. Lineage: Eukaryota; Viridiplantae; Streptophyta; Magnoliopsida; Poales; Poaceae.
AUUGAGUACCUCAGUGUCAGGAUCUGCAACAAGCGUGAGCUUUUGGAGGAGGAGCAAUGGCAACUGGUUCUCAACCAAGAGCAUGUCAGAGAUGAUAUAGGAGUACAAGUAUAGACGGCCAUGCUUGCUGAAAACAGGGUCAUCGGACCCAUAACCUUGUACCUCCACCUCAUCCUUCAUCACCUCCAGCAAGAAGCAGCCGUCGGUGACCAUCAGCUCCACGAACCGCUCUCCACUCCACUCCUCGCCUAGGUUCUCAUAAGCGCCCCGCAGUUGUUCGGCUAUCCCCUCCACGGCAGCGGUGAACUCCUGCCGUGGCUUCCCACUCCGGCUGACCAUGUGCGCCACCGCGCGCUGCUUGUGCGCCUCCAUGGGCUUCAACGGGGGUUCGCCGUAGUGGAAGGGCCCCAGCGACACCACCUGCGGCCGAUACGCGUCCCGGUUGGUCAUGUCCUUGAUGUACUCUGGCACCCGAUAAAUCGAGUGCCGCUG